Molecule: ribosomal RNA, 433 nt
Filed under: uncultured bacterium
Lineage: Bacteria
Description: partial 16S ribosomal RNA
Rfam family: Bacterial small subunit ribosomal RNA
Source: RNAcentral
AACGAACGCUGGCGGCAUGCCUAACACAUGCAAGUCGAACGAGACCUUCGGGUCUAGUGGCGCACGGGUGCGUAACGCGUGGGAACAUGCCCAUAGGUUCGGAAUAACUCCCCGAAAGGGGUGCUAAUACCGGAUAAUGUCUUCGGACCAAAGAUUUAUCGCCUUUGGAGGGGCCCGCGUUGGAUUAGCUAGUUGGUAGGGUAAAAGGCUACGAAGGCGACGAUCCAUAGCUGGUCUGAGAGGAUGAUCAGCCACACUGGUACGAGGACACGGCCCGGACUCUUACGGGAGGCAGCAGAGGGGAAUAUUGGAAAGCGGGGGGAAGGCUGAAGCAGCAAGGCCGCGUGAGUGAUGUAGGCCGUAGGGUUGGAAAGCACUUUUACCCGUGAUGAUAAUGACAGUACCGGGAGAAUAAGCACCGGCUAACUCCGUG